UAAUACGAACUGUGCAAACGUUAUUCGGAAUCACUGGGCUUAAAGGGUGCGUAGGCGGCUUAUUAAGCAGGGUGUGAAAGCCCCCGGCUCAACCGGGGAAUAGCGCUCUGAACUGAUGAGCUGGAGCGAGGCAGGGGUGCGCGGAACUUCCAGUGGAGCGGUGAAAUGUGUUGAUAUUGGAAGGAACACCGGAGGCGAAAGCGGCGCACUGGGUCUUGUCUGACGCUGAGGCACGAAAGCCAGGGGAGCAAACGGG
Molecule: ribosomal RNA, 256 nt
Filed under: uncultured bacterium
Lineage: Bacteria
Description: partial 16S ribosomal RNA
Rfam family: Bacterial small subunit ribosomal RNA
Source: RNAcentral